RNAcentral lists this long non-coding RNA (591 nucleotides) under Lepidothrix coronata (blue-crowned manakin). RNAcentral's name for it is "lncRNA (ENSLCOG00000005390.1)". The record is from RNAcentral. Lineage: Eukaryota; Metazoa; Chordata; Aves; Passeriformes; Pipridae.
ACAGUCAAAGUCUCUCUGCUACCCCAGGAUUCAGGAUGUUGUUCUGCCAGUCUCAGACAGUUCUUUGCUCCAUCUCCAGGUGUCAUCAGCUUCAUUGUUAUCCUGGUGGUGGUGGUGAUCAUCCUGGUCAGUGUGGUCAGCCUGAGGUUCAAGUGUAACCGCUCCAAGGAGGAAGACAAACAGAAACCAGGAGGCUCCAUGAUAUCAGAGAGCUGCUCAGCAGACACGAGCCAGAAGGACAACAGCAUCACUCUGAUCUCCAUGAAGAACAUCAACAUGAACAACAGCAUGAGUUACCCACCAUCAGAAAAGGUGCUAUGAAGAGCCCAGAGAAUGAAGCUGAGACAUCACAACCAGCAGUGACUUUCUAGGUUCUUUUUCUUUUUUUUCCUUUGUGGAAAGAGCGAGGGUGGAUUUUAUAUAUAAAUUAUUAUGUCCUUUCUGAUCAAUACAUAUAGUGUCCUAUAUAGCUUCCCCACCUGGGGCCUAAGGGCUUUCUCCAGUUACAGCCUGCCAUGCUCAGUGGUUGAUAUCUAACUCUAUUUUUGAGAUGCCUUCAAACACUCAGAAUAAAUCCAGCAGCAAGAAGCA